CGUUUAUACGCCAGAUGUCACUGAAUAUACUUCAUUCACAGUUUCGUAUUCGGCGAAGGGCACCUGCUAGGAUGAGGACUUAAGGGUCAUUCACAGAACAGAACAGAUCGCUAAAAGGUGAACUAUAGAUAGAUACAUAUAUAUAUAUAUAUAUAUUUUACUAUUUUACCUCUACACACUACGCUCAAAUAGAAAACUAUACAUACACUAAUAUUUUGUUGAUUUCUAUUUUUCCUCUUUACAUCAUCAUCCACACACACACACACACACAUAUAUAUAUAUAUAUAUUAUACAUAUAUAUAUAUAUACCGUUCUACAUCUUAAAGUGUGCUUCUUCUUUCGAUUUUAUGUUUUUUUUCACAGACUAUAUAUAUAUAUAUGGUACUAUAUAUGAAGAAUCGUGCCGGUGCGCGCACUCGCGUGUCGGCACUAGCUAGUCAUGACUAGUCGAUCCUUACUUUGCGUUUUUGUGUUUUAUUUACUUUGCUUGGUAGUCGUUAUAGGAUCGACUAGUCACGAGUGCGCACACCGGGACCAUUCUUCUUAAAUAGUACCUAUAUAUAUGUAUAUAUACAAAGUAAUUAAGGGUUUAGCAACGAUUUGCCUCAUCACACACCGAAUUUAGAAAUAGCAGUCAAAGAGUUUUGGCUAUUCUUUCUACUUAAAAGGGAAAUCCCAGUAAAACCACAGCACUUAAAAGGCAAACAUAUAUAUAUGUAUAUAUAUAUUUUUUUUUUUACUUGUUUCAGUCAUUUGACUGCGGCCAUGCUGGAGCACCGCCUUUUAAUCGAGCAACUCUACCCUGGGACUUAUUCUUUUGUAAGCCCAGUACUUAUUCUAUCGGUCUCUUUUGCCGAACCGCUAAGUAACGGGGACAUAAACACACCAGCAUCGGUUGUCAAGCAAUGCUAGGGGGACAAACACAGACACACACACGCAUAUAUAUAUAUAUAUAUAUAUACAUAUAUACGACGGACUUCUUUCAGUUUCCGUCUAUCAAAUCCACUCACAAGGCUUUGGUCGGCCCGAGGCUAUAGUAGAAGACACUUUCCCAAGGUGCCACGCAGUGGGACUGAACCCGGAACCAUGUGGUUGGUAAACAAGCUACUUACCACACAGCCACUCUUGCGCCUAUAUAUGUAUAUAUAUAGGCGGCGAGCUGGCAGACGACACGUUAGCGCGUCGGGCGAAAUGCUUAGCGGUAUUUCGUCUGUCGUUACAUUCUGAGUUCAAAUUCCGCCGAGGUGAACUUUGCCUUUCAUCCUUUCGGGGUCGAUAAAUAAAGUACCAGUUUCGCACUGGGGUCGAUAUAAUCGACUCAAUCCCUUCGUCUGUCCUUGUUUGUCCCCUCUAUGUAUAGCCCCUUCUGGGCAGUAAAGAAAUAUAUAUUUAUAUAUAUGUAUAAUCUGGCACAGGAGUGGCUGUGUGGUAAGUAGCUUGCUAACCAACCACAUGGUUCCGGGUUCAGUCCCACUGCGUGGCAUCUUGGGCAAGUGUCUUCUGCUAUAGCCCCGGGCCGACCAAUGCCUUGUGAGUGGAUUUGGUAGACGGAAACUGAAAGAAGCCUGUCGUAUAUAUGUAUAUAUAUAUAUGUGUGUGUGUAUGUGUUUGUGUGUCUGUGUUUGUCCCCCUAGCAUUGCUUGACAACCAAUGCUGGUGUGUUUACAUCCCCGUCACUUAGCGGUUCGGCAAAAGAGACCGAUAGAAUAAGUACUGAGCUUACAAAAAGAAUAAGUCCCGGGGUCGAUUUGCUCGACUAAAGGCGGUGCUCCAGCAUGGCCGCAGUCAAAUGACUGAAACAAGUAAAAGAGUAUAUAAUGUCGCAUACGUACAUCACCACAUGAACAAUUUUCUAUUUCUUUCAGUUUGCAAACCUUGGACAUAUCACACUUUGAACCCGCGACCAUCUCUACCGAUCUCUCCUUCGCACGAUGUCGAGCGUCUUGAAGGAUGCGCGCGUGCAGCAGUUCCUGGAGAUUGAAACCCAGAAGCAGAAAUUCCAGCAGCUGGUACACACCCUGAACGAGCAGUGUUGGGACAUAUGCGUGGACAAGACCGGACAGAAGUUGGACAGUCGCACCGAGUCAUGCAUCGCCAACUGUGUGGAACGUUUCAUUGACACGACCAAUUUUGUGGUCAACCGACUGGAAAGUGUCCAGGUGACGGGACCAGACGAUGACGAACUGAUGUGAUGGCGAUGAUAGUGAAUGAUGAGGAGGGUAAAGGAUAUGGUGAUGGUGCCUUUGUAGACAAAGUGAUAGAGCUGUUUACGUAGAACCGCACACAUAGGUAAAGAUGGUAAUGUUCUGGUUUUCGUUCAUAAAAUAAAUUAAUCUUCUAUUUCUUGUGGAGAGCUUAACAUUCUUUCAGUUUCGUCCCACAAGAGACAGCUCACUUGACUUAAACUGUUCCUUCUUUACUGGUUCUUUACCAUUAUAAUAUCUUAACUGCUGUUUCUAGCAUAAAUGUUAACUUGAAUGCUGUUGAUUGUAACUUCGAAGUUUCGAACUUUUAUGUCAUUGUCAACAACAUUCUUGUUUAACCCUUUAGCAUUUAAACCGGCCAUAUCCGGCCAAAAGUAUUCUGCCUGUUUUAUGUUCAAACUGGCCAGAUCUGGUCUCUCACACCAGCCCUACAAUAUCGUUUUAAAAAUUAACAGCUACCUCAUCAAAAUCUCAUAGCACCAAGAUAAUUCAUGAUUAGUUCAAAACAAUUUGGAUGAAGAAGCAUUAAUUUUGGCAGAAUAAUGUGAACCCUAAAGGGUUAAAAAUAAAUUUGUAUUCUACAACAGUGUAGAGUAACCCAUCAAAUUAAUGUAAUUUUUUUUUAUUGUAACUAAGCAUAAAAACCAUCGUUAAUCUAUCUCGAUCUAUCAACCCCAUAACUGCCCUGUCAUAACCAACGACUAUUAUACAUGCGCACACACACUUAUAUAUAUAUGUAUGUAUAGGCGUGGUACAAGCAUGUUUAAGAAGUUUGCUUCCAGUUUAGUACCUUGGGCAAGUAGGAUCUUUUCGGUUUGAACGGCAGUUUUUUUCUAGGGUUGUCAUAUGAAAUUGUCACCUAUAAUUAUGACACUUGUAUCGAUCUAUUGCAUUUCAAUCUGUUUUAGGGGUGGGGGGAGGGUAUCUUUUAUUUCUUCACAAAUGUAAAUAAACCUAAUCUGUUUCUUAAAUGAGGGACAUAUUCAUACGGUACAGAAUGUUUAUUUUUACCUCAAUAAACGUCAGUGAUUGGUUGAAAUUGCAGAAAUUGAAGAAAAAAAACAACAAAUAUCUUACAAACUAUAGAAUUUUCUCAAUAUAGCCAAGAGAAAAAGAUGUUUUAUAAACACAUUCUACCAGUUUACGAAGUUUAAAAUUUUUUAGUUACCUAGAAAUUAAUGUUAAAAGUUACCGUUCAAACCGAAAAGAUCCGGCUAGUAUCUUCCACAAUAUCUCCAGGCUGACCAAUGCCUUGUGAGCGAAUUUAGUUAAUAAACUGUGUGUGUAUUUUCUGUUCAUUUCCCCACCACCGUUUAUCUUUGAAUGACAUUGUUGGGUGGGUGUGAGAGGCCAGAUGUGGUCAGUUUGAACAUAAAACAAGUUGACUAUUUGGCUCAGAUAUUACCUUUUACCUGUUUCAGUCAUUAGAAUGAGGCCAUGCUGGAGCACCGCCUUAGCUGGUUUAAGUGUUAAACCAGCAGCGGUUCUCAACUAGGUCCAUAGAGACCUCUGAAAUUUCAUAUAAGAUUUUAUAGGGGACAACAUAACAAAAUAGUAUAUCAGGGAUCCACAAUAAAAUCUGAAGGGCCUUGGGUCCCUGAGAAAAGUUUGCAUUAGAUCAGUGGUUCUCAGCUUUUUCACUUAAUGUUAAUGUUUCCCUUGAUUAAAUUGAACGUUAAACUAGGACAUCACCCUGGUGUUAUGAUUAAAUCACACUUUAAACUAGGACAUCACCCUGGUGUUAAGUGAUGAUGAGAUAAUAAGUGAUUUCUCACAUAAUUCACAGUGGAAGGGGUUUUUUUGCCCUGUAUUUGUGUGUUUUUCAGUGGCCCUUAAUAAUAGGCUUUUCUGUAUAUCACAGUGGAUGGGUUUUUCUCCUGUAUGACUACAUUUAUCAACCAUAAAGACUAGAAUGAUAUACCACAUAUAUCACAGUGAAAAUGUUUUUUUCUUUUUCUUUUUGAGUUCCUCACCCCACAUCCACUUAACUGA
This 4196-nucleotide long non-coding RNA is filed under the name Octopus vulgaris (common octopus). The record is from RNAcentral. Lineage: Eukaryota; Metazoa; Mollusca; Cephalopoda; Octopoda; Octopodidae.